CACGUAGGAGGCAAACGUUAUCCGGAUUUACUGGGCGUAAAGCGCGUGUAGGUGGUUCUGUAAGUAGGGCGUGAAAGCUCCUGGCUCAACUGGGAGAGGCCGUUCUAAACUGCAGAGCUAGAGGAUGGUAGAGGGAGGUGGAAUUCCCGGUGUAGCGGUGAAAUGCGCAGAUAUCGGGAGGAACACCAGUAGCGAAGGCGGUUCUCUGGGCCAGUACUGACGCUGAGGAGCGAAAGCGUGGGGAGCAAACAGGAUUAGAUACCCCGGUAGUCCCUGA
Molecule: ribosomal RNA, 277 nt
Filed under: uncultured prokaryote
Description: partial 16S ribosomal RNA
Rfam family: Bacterial small subunit ribosomal RNA
Source: RNAcentral